RNAcentral lists this ribosomal RNA (207 nucleotides) under uncultured bacterium. RNAcentral describes it as "partial 16S ribosomal RNA". It matches the Rfam family "Bacterial small subunit ribosomal RNA", at positions 568 to 774 of the family's 1533-position model. The record is from RNAcentral.
CGCGUAGGCGGCUUUAUAAGUCUGGAGUGAAAGUCCUCUUUUCAAGGGAGGAAUUGCUUUGGAAACUAUAGAGCUUGAGUGCAGGAGAGGUUAUCGGAAUUCCCGGUGUAGCGGUGAAAUGCGUAGAUAUCGGGAGGAACAUCGGUGGCGAAGGCGGGUAACUGGACUGCAACUGACGCUGAGGCGCGAAAGCGUGGGUAGCAAACA